CUGGCCAAGAAAAAGGCCGGCAUAUAACGGCCGGCAGGCAGUGGCUAUUCCGUGUGCUGACACAGAUUUUCCAUCUCCUCUUUCAAGCUUACAAGGAGGGUUUCUGCGUGCUGGUUCUCGACAGUGUGGUGUUCUCUUGCAAAGCCGGCCCUCCCCCUUCUCCUACUGUGAGGGGAAUUCUGUACCAUGUGUCUGCGGUUUUCAGGGAGCUUUCAAGGAAAAUAAAGGACAGAGGCCUCACAGCCCCCCCCCCAAAAAAAACGACAUCCUCACCUCCCUCCUCCUUCCUCCACUUCUCAUUUUCCCUCACUCAACUCCAUGUGGCACUUUUUUACUUUUUUCAACCUCCCUUUUUCUCAGACCAGCCAGCAGCUAUGGAGUGACAGAGCUAAUUUCGUGUGCAGCCUGUGAUAGAGACAAAUCCAUAAUCAUGGCUAACUCUUAUGAGGCAAGAGAGCGUUAGUUGGUGGGGGAGAAAGGAAGGGGAGAGGGGGGAAAGACAGAGAAAGGCCUUUUGUUUGGCUAAGUACACUAUGUGAAAGAGGGGGCGGUGAGGAAAAGAGAGCUGGAAAUACAUUAGAAAAUGGUUGCAAUGGCUGUGGCAUUUGUGGAUCAGAUUACCUCACAUGUCAUGCAGUGGAUGGACCCAGCCAUUGGAUCCAUUUGGUUUGACCAUGACUGUGUGUAAACUAACUUUAUUGAGACUACAGUGAUUAACUUUGCCCUAAAACCUAUGGAAGGACUGGAGGGGGGGAAAUUGGGAGGAUUAGCAGAGGCAGCUUGCAGUGUACCAACUGUAAUCCAGAGCUUUAUUGGCUCGGUCAACAUACCUUUAAACUAAAUACCUGUAGCUAUGUAGUUUAUUAUUGUAACUUGCCAGGGGAAAGUGGUGAAAAUAAACACUUACCCUGGCUCUACACAUAUCUCAAUCACUAUAGAUACACUUUCUGUAUCUUAACUCGCACCCAACCUACAAUAUACUGUGACUGAUGGGAAGGAAGCAAUUUAGGAGCAUGGAAUAGUGCCUACAUUAACAUUCCCACAUAUGCUAUGGGAGCAAAAGCUAUUUCCGUGUCCUACAUCUAGCGAGCUUCCUGUGGUCUGCCCUGUGCAGGAAGUCAUAAAGACGGGAAGACUUCCUGUACUGUUGCCAACAUACAGCAGUACGGACUGUACAUGCUCCGUAAGGCUGGGGACCAAUGAUGUAAACACCAUAUAAAUAGCACUCUCAGCCCUAUCAAGGAGGAGGAGAGAUACAUCUGAAUGGAGAUUUAUACCACUCCUUUAUACCAGUUCUUUUCACUGGGCUUAGCAGUCGUGUAAAGGAUCUCCCUUUAAAAUAAAAUACACCUUGACAAACACAAGUGUUGUCUAUGUAGUCUUUCUAAUCUUAACAGAGUUUUUGCAUGUUUUCCCAUCACUGGAUCUCAUGCAAUGCACUGUAUAUUCAAUAACUUC
This is a long non-coding RNA of Siniperca chuatsi (mandarin fish), 1458 nucleotides long. RefSeq lists it as uncharacterized. NCBI's taxonomy places the organism in Eukaryota, Metazoa, Chordata, Actinopteri, Centrarchiformes, Sinipercidae. The transcript is spliced from 3 exons. The record is from RefSeq and is a predicted model, not a curated record.